Lepidothrix coronata (blue-crowned manakin) is the source of this 656-nucleotide long non-coding RNA. RefSeq lists it as uncharacterized. The transcript is spliced from 3 exons. Lineage: Eukaryota; Metazoa; Chordata; Aves; Passeriformes; Pipridae. The record is from RefSeq and is a predicted model, not a curated record.
GAGAGGGACACCUUCCACCAACCCAAGUUUCUCCAGGCACAGCUUGGAUGGGGUCCCUUCCAUGUGCACGCUGAGAUCUCCCUUCCUGCAUCCCACCAGGCCCUGGAGCCAUUGCAAGGCACUGGAAGGAAUCCCAAAGGAGCCCGGGAUGAGGCCGGGCUGCUCCCGGCAUGAGAAAGUGGGGCCAUCCGUGCAGAUGUUGCCCGGGGGAAGCCGAGGUUCCCACACCGACACAUUGUUGCCAUGAUAAAAGAAUAAGAGGUGAAACUCUAUUCCUUCCUUUCCCCAUCUCCGCAGUAUUCUCCGAAUCCCCGGACAGAAGGCUGUUGGGAUGAAAGUGCCAAACCAAGAUGCAGGGCCCAAUCCUGCUGUUCCUGAUCCCACUCCUUGCCAGACUUCUUUUCCAUGAUGGGGUAAGGGGGCUGAGACUUGUCCCCCUGGGACUCAGAGUGUUCCUUCCCAGGGAGGACACAAGGACACAACAAGCCUUUUCCCACCCCUGCUGGAUGGAUCCCUCUUUGCCCCUGGAUGGAGGCAGCAGAGUGGCCACAGCUCUCACACACAGGGUCAUUAUCCUCAGGAAAUAACAACAUCCAGGCAAAGAUCGCUCACAUGCCAUGUUUUUGGGAGCUGAAGUGAAGCCCUCUUUGAAGGAC